CAGUAGCCGCGGUAAUACGUAGGUGGCAAGCGUUGUCCGGAAUUAUUGGGCGUAAAGGCUCGCAGGCGGUUUCUUAAGUCUGAUGCGAAAGCCCCCGGCUCAACCGGGGAGGGUCAUUGGAAACUGGGAAACUUGAGUGCAGAAGAGGAGAGUGGAAUUCCACGUGUAGCGGUGAAAUGCGUAGAGAUGUGGAGGAACACCAGUGGCGAAGGCGACUCUCUGGUCUGUAACUGACGCUGAGGAGCGAAAGCGUGGGGAGCGAACAGGAUUAGAUACCCCGGUAGUCCCUGUCUCUUAUACA
This 301-nucleotide ribosomal RNA is filed under the name uncultured bacterium. Its description in RNAcentral is "partial 16S ribosomal RNA". It matches the Rfam family "Bacterial small subunit ribosomal RNA", at positions 509 to 808 of the family's 1533-position model. The record is from RNAcentral.